Molecule: ribosomal RNA, 253 nt
Filed under: uncultured bacterium
Lineage: Bacteria
Description: partial 16S ribosomal RNA
Rfam family: Bacterial small subunit ribosomal RNA
Source: RNAcentral
UACAGAGGUCUCAAGCGUUGUUCGGAUUCAUUGGGCGUAAAGGGCGCGUAGGCGGCGGGGUAAGUCGGGUGUGAAAUCUCAGAGCUCAACUCUGAAAUGGCACUUGAUACUGCUCUGCUAGAGGACUGGAGAGGAGAUUGGAAUUCACGGUGUAGCAGUGAAAUGCGUAGAUAUCGUGAGGAAGACCGGUGGCGAAGGCGGCAUCCUGGACCGACACUGACGCUGGUGAGCGAAAGCUAGGGGAGCAAACGGG